GUGGGCAUAGUUCAGUGGUAGAGCACUUCCCUAGCAUGGGAGAGGCUCUGGAUUCAAUUCCCAGUGCUACA
RNAcentral lists this transfer RNA (71 nucleotides) under Heterocephalus glaber (naked mole-rat). It matches the Rfam family "tRNA". From Rfam's summary of the family: Transfer RNA (tRNA) molecules are approximately 80 nucleotides in length. Their secondary structure includes four short double-helical elements and three loops (D, anti-codon, and T loops). Lineage: Eukaryota; Metazoa; Chordata; Mammalia; Rodentia; Bathyergidae. The record is from Rfam by way of RNAcentral.